RNAcentral lists this ribosomal RNA (253 nucleotides) under uncultured bacterium. RNAcentral's name for it is "partial 16S ribosomal RNA". It matches the Rfam family "Bacterial small subunit ribosomal RNA", at positions 524 to 776 of the family's 1533-position model. The record is from RNAcentral.
UACGAAGGGGGCUAGCGUUGCUCGGAAUCACUGGGCGUAAAGCGCACGUAGGCGGCUUUUUAAGUCAGGGGUGAAAUCCUGGAGCUCAACUCCAGAACUGCCUUCGAUACUGAGAGUCUCGAGUCCGAGAGAGGUGAGUGGAACUGCGAGUGUAGAGGUGAAAUUCGUAGAUAUUCGCAAGAACACCAGUGGCGAAGGCGGCUCACUGGCUCGGUACUGACGCUGAGGUGCGAAAGCGUGGGGAGCAAACAGG